RNAcentral lists this ribosomal RNA (2929 nucleotides) under Bacillus amyloliquefaciens. RNAcentral describes it as "23S ribosomal RNA". It matches the Rfam family "Bacterial large subunit ribosomal RNA". RNAcentral also lists the same sequence under 1 other name. Lineage: Bacteria; Bacillati; Bacillota; Bacilli; Caryophanales; Bacillaceae. The record is from RNAcentral.
GGUUAAGUUAGAAAGGGCGCACGGUGGAUGCCUUGGCACUAGGAGCCGAUGAAGGACGGGACGAACACCGAUAUGCUUCGGGGAGCUGUAAGCAAGCUUUGAUCCGGAGAUUUCCGAAUGGGGAAACCCACCACUCGUAAUGGAGUGGUAUCCAUAUCUGAAUACAUAGGAUAUGAGAAGGCAGACCCGGGGAACUGAAACAUCUAAGUACCCGGAGGAAGAGAAAGCAAAUGCGAUUCCCUGAGUAGCGGCGAGCGAAACGGGACCAGCCCAAACCAAGAGGCUUGCCUCUUGGGGUUGUAGGACACUCUGUACGGAGUUACAAAGGAACGAGGUAGAUGAAGAGGUCUGGAAAGGCCCGCCAUAGGAGGUAACAGCCCUGUAGUCAAAACUUCGUUCUCUCCUGAGUGGAUCCUGAGUACGGCGGAACACGUGAAAUUCCGUCGGAAUCCGGGAGGACCAUCUCCCAAGGCUAAAUACUCCCUAGUGACCGAUAGUGAACCAGUACCGUGAGGGAAAGGUGAAAAGCACCCCGGAAGGGGAGUGAAAGAGAUCCUGAAACCGUGUGCCUACAAGUAGUCAGAGCCCGUUAACGGGUGAUGGCGUGCCUUUUGUAGAAUGAACCGGCGAGUUACGAUCCCGUGCAAGGUUAAGCAGAAGAUGCGGAGCCGCAGCGAAAGCGAGUCUGAAUAGGGCGAAUUGAGUACGUGGUCGUAGACCCGAAACCAGGUGAUCUACCCAUGUCCAGGGUGAAGUUCAGGUAACACUGAAUGGAGGCCCGAACCCACGCACGUUGAAAAGUGCGGGGAUGAGGUGUGGGUAGGGGUGAAAUGCCAAUCGAACCUGGAGAUAGCUGGUUCUCUCCGAAAUAGCUUUAGGGCUAGCCUCAAGGUAAGAGUCUCGGAGGUAGAGCACUGAUUGGACUAGGGGCCCCUACCGGGUUACCGAAUUCAGUCAAACUCCGAAUGCCGAUGACUUAUCCUUGGGAGUCAGACUGCGAGUGAUAAGAUCCGUAGUCGAAAGGGAAACAGCCCAGACCGCCAGCUAAGGUCCCAAAGUAUACGUUAAGUGGAAAAGGAUGUGGAGUUGCUUAGACAACCAGGAUGUUGGCUUAGAAGCAGCCACCAUUUAAAGAGUGCGUAAUAGCUCACUGGUCGAGUGACUCUGCGCCGAAAAUGUACCGGGGCUAAACGUAUCACCGAAGCUGCGGACUGUUCUUCGAACAGUGGUAGGAGAGCGUUCUAAGGGCUGUGAAGCAAGACCGGAAGGACUUGUGGAGCGCUUAGAAGUGAGAAUGCCGGUAUGAGUAGCGAAAGAGGGGUGAGAAUCCCCUCCACCGAAUGCCUAAGGUUUCCUGAGGAAGGCUCGUCCGCUCAGGGUUAGUCGGGACCUAAGCCGAGGCCGAAAGGCGUAGGCGAUGGAUAACAGGUUGAUAUUCCUGUACCACCUCCUCACCAUUUGAGCAAUGGGGGACGCAGGAGGAUAGGGUAAGCGCGGUAUUGGAUAUCCGCGUCCAAGCAGUUAGGCUGGGAAAUAGGCAAAUCCGUUUCCCGUGAAGGCUGAGCUGUGAUGGCGAGCGAAUUAUAGUAGCGAAGUUCCUGAUUCCACACUGCCAAGAAAAGCCUCUAGCGAGGUGAGAGGUGCCCGUACCGCAAACCGACACAGGUAGGCGAGGAGAGAAUCCUAAGGUGAUCGAGAGAACUCUCGUUAAGGAACUCGGCAAAAUGACCCCGUAACUUCGGGAGAAGGGGUGCUCUGUUAGGGUGCAAGCCCGAGAGAGCCGCAGUGAAUAGGCCCAGGCGACUGUUUAGCAAAAACACAGGUCUCUGCGAAGCCGUAAGGCGAAGUAUAGGGGCUGACGCCUGCCCGGUGCUGGAAGGUUAAGAGGAGCGCUUAGCGUAAGCGAAGGUGCGAAUUGAAGCCCCAGUAAACGGCGGCCGUAACUAUAACGGUCCUAAGGUAGCGAAAUUCCUUGUCGGGUAAGUUCCGACCCGCACGAAAGGCGCAACGAUCUGGGCACUGUCUCAACGAGAGACUCGGUGAAAUUAUAGUACCUGUGAAGAUGCAGGUUACCCGCGACAGGACGGAAAGACCCCGUGGAGCUUUACUGCAGCCUGAUAUUGAAUGUUGGUACAGCUUGUACAGGAUAGGUAGGAGCCUUGGAAACCGGAGCGCCAGCUUCGGUGGAGGCAUCGGUGGGAUACUACCCUGGCUGUAUUGACCUUCUAACCCGCCGCCCUUAUCGGGCGGGGAGACAGUGUCAGGUGGGCAGUUUGACUGGGGCGGUCGCCUCCUAAAAGGUAACGGAGGCGCCCAAAGGUUCCCUCAGAAUGGUUGGAAAUCAUUCGCAGAGUGUAAAGGCACAAGGGAGCUUGACUGCGAGACCUACAAGUCGAGCAGGGACGAAAGUCGGGCUUAGUGAUCCGGUGGUUCCGCAUGGAAGGGCCAUCGCUCAACGGAUAAAAGCUACCCCGGGGAUAACAGGCUUAUCUCCCCCAAGAGUCCACAUCGACGGGGAGGUUUGGCACCUCGAUGUCGGCUCAUCGCAUCCUGGGGCUGUAGUCGGUCCCAAGGGUUGGGCUGUUCGCCCAUUAAAGCGGUACGCGAGCUGGGUUCAGAACGUCGUGAGACAGUUCGGUCCCUAUCCGUCGCGGGCGCAGGAAAUUUGAGAGGAGCUGUCCUUAGUACGAGAGGACCGGGAUGGACGCACCGCUGGUGUACCAGUUGUUCUGCCAAGGGCAUCGCUGGGUAGCUAUGUGCGGACGGGAUAAGUGCUGAAAGCAUCUAAGCAUGAAGCCCCCCUCAAGAUGAGAUUUCCCAUUCCGCAAGGAAGUAAGAUCCCUGAAAGAUGAUCAGGUUGAUAGGUCUGAGGUGGAAGUGUGGCGACACAUGGAGCUGACAGAUACUAAUCGAUCGAGGACUUAACCAA